UGGGGAAUAUUGGGCAAUGCCCGCAAGGGUGACCCAGCAACGCCGCGUGGAGGAUGAAUGUCGUAAGAUUGUAAACUCCUGUUAGAGGGGAAGAAUAGUACCGGUUGGACCGGUAUAUGACUGUACCCUCAGAGAAAGCCCCGGCUAACUACGUGCCAGCAGCCACGGUAAUACGUAGGGGGCAAGCGUUGUCCGGAUUUACUGGGUGUAAAGGGCGCGCAGGCGGGAUAAAAAGUCAGUGGUGAAAUCCUACAGCUUAACUGUAGAACUGCCUUUGAUACUUUUAUUCUUGAGUUCGGGAGAGAGAGACGGAAUUCCAGGUGUAGUGGUGAAAUACGUAGAUAUCUGGAAGAACACCAGUUGCGAAGGCGGUCUCUUGGUCCGACACUGACGCUGAGGCGCGAAAGCGUGGGGAGCAAACA
This 422-nucleotide ribosomal RNA is filed under the name uncultured bacterium. Its description in RNAcentral is "bacterial SSU rRNA". It matches the Rfam family "Bacterial small subunit ribosomal RNA", at positions 355 to 774 of the family's 1533-position model. The record is from RNAcentral.